This 76-nucleotide transfer RNA is filed under the name Burkholderiaceae bacterium. Its description in RNAcentral is "tRNA-Thr". It matches the Rfam family "tRNA". Rfam says of the family: Transfer RNA (tRNA) molecules are approximately 80 nucleotides in length. Their secondary structure includes four short double-helical elements and three loops (D, anti-codon, and T loops). The record is from RNAcentral. Lineage: Bacteria; Pseudomonadati; Pseudomonadota; Betaproteobacteria; Burkholderiales; Burkholderiaceae.
GCCCCUAUAGCUCAUUCGGUAGAGCAACUGAUUUGUAAUCAGUAGGUGCCGUGUUCGAAUCAUGGUGGGGGCACCA